UACGGAGGGUGCAAGCGUUAUCCGGAUUCACUGGGUUUAAAGGGUGCGUAGGUGGGCUUGUAAGUCAGUGGUGAAAUCUCCGGGCUUAACCCGGAAACUGCCAUUGAUACUAUAGGUCUUGAAUUAUCUGGAGGUAAGCGGAAUAUGUCAUGUAGCGGUGAAAUGCUUAGAUAUGACAUAGAACACCAAUUGCGAAGGCAGCUUACUACGGAUCGAUUGACACUGAGGCACGAAAGCGUGGGGAUCAAACAGG
RNAcentral lists this ribosomal RNA (253 nucleotides) under uncultured bacterium. RNAcentral describes it as "partial 16S ribosomal RNA". It matches the Rfam family "Bacterial small subunit ribosomal RNA", at positions 524 to 776 of the family's 1533-position model. The record is from RNAcentral.